AUACAUUUGGUUAACGCUAUUUGGUACCGCUUGCAAGGCGGCGACCACGAGUUACCUGCCCCUAUACAAUGAGUUAAUUGCCCCUGUAUUUCAUCUGUUAAGUUGUACUUAAAAUAGGCUAACUCUUGCGCAAAAAAAGAUAGAAAAUAUCAAAUAUGGGAAAGCGGGACGAUAGACCAAACAUAUCUACGAAGAGACCGUUGGUGCCGGAAAUAUCUCUGUCUUUAGUAGUGUCUGCGAGGUAUAUUAAUUUAUAAAACAUGAGAUAUUAGUACCAUAUUGCCCGGGAAUCAAAAGAUUUUUGCAAGAUCGGUAAGUAUAUUCAAUAUAGGCUAAACAAGCACAAGGCCAGGGCACGUGGUAAGUCAUUCCGCAGCGCAGGAAUGACCAAAACUAGCCUACUACGGUACCAUUUACAGAAAUUACCAAAAAAAAAAAAUGACAAAAAUUACCGAGAGAGGAGCUAAAAUGACCUCAGUAAUACAUGACAUCUACUAUCAUAUUCACAUUAAAAAUUUUGGUCCCUCCUUUGACGACUUCAAUAAUUUUUAAUUUCGGUCAUAUCUUUGGUAUUUUCUGUGAACGUUUGUAAUUUCGGACAUUAUAUGUAACAAUCCUACUAUUCAUUCCACAAUGAAGGCCAGUGGGCCUAGAUUUUUAAUUUGAUACACGUAUAAACUUAACACUGCGCAAGUUACGUCACGGAAUGCAGUAUAGGGGAGGAGAAAAUAUUUGGCUGGACCAGGAGUCGAACCUAGGAUCCCUGCAUUACUAGUCAGGUGCUCUAACCACUGAGCUAUCCAGGUCGAUAUCCACGGUCCGUGUAGCCCUAACUACUAAAUUCCUCCCUUUAAUUUGUUUUUGCUGUCGAAGACACACGACCCAGAUUCAUUUCACCCCUGGCAGGACAAGAGUAGUCACGGCACCAACUGGUAAAAUCUUGCACAGAGGUCCCUAGGUUCAAUUCCCGAUCCAGCCACAAAUUUUCUCCGUGUAUGUCUAUCUGAGACUGAGUUGGAAAAUUACGGUAUCUUCAUAGUGACAAACUAAUGAAAAUAUUGAUCAAAUUCGACUGGUCAAGGACUGUUAAUAUAAAUAAAUUUGAAACAUUGGUCAUUGUAAUGAUUGGUUUCAUGUUAUACUAAGCUUGUGUUUCAAGACAAGGCUGUCUUUGUUGGUGAUGAUACUGAUGUAUAUAUUUAGAAACAAGUAAUGCUUUGAUUUUGAUUACAGGUGUGGUCUUUAAAAAAAUUAAUGCAUGGCAAGGUUGAUAGUGAGACUAAUAAAUUCUUUCAGCAGAAUUCAGCUAGACACAAAAAAAAAGACAAUCACUACAGCCUUCCAAGAAGAUGGACUGCCUCACAAUAGUUUCCUUGAGGACUGUCUUGAAAUAUCCAGAGUUUAAGAUUCAAGAAACGGACUCUAUCUGGAAAAGGAAAACAAUAUCAAAGCUCCUCUGUGAGAAGUUGGCCAAGGAAAGCAUUCAGAAGAAAGUGGAGAUUCAUUGUUUUUACCAGAUCCAGCAGAUCACAGAAAGCAUCUAGUAGGGGAGUUUCCAGGAUUAAGCCAGCCAGUAGAUGAGACUAUUAUAUCAAAAAUACAUUUACUUGUACACGAGGGCACACAAAGCGUUGAUGAAACAAAAAGACAUUUCCAUCUGUUUGUAAAGGAUACUAUUUCACCAGGGAACACCAUCUCAGAAUUUAACAGAUGCUUUUACCCCGCCAAUAAGGAUGUAAGAAAUCACAUUUACAGGGCACCGAGAUUUUGCCAGGUAGUUUAGAACUGUGUGCAUUGGUUUUGGAAGAAUUUGGGCUGUUUAGGCUAAAAUCCAUCAUGUAAGUUCAUCUUUGUGGUGCACAAAUUCCAUAUGGUCAUUUCAAAUAGUCAACAUUGCUUCUAUUUUCAAUCUGAAAUUCUACAUGUAUUUUGUUUGAGAGAUGAAAACAAUCCUCGAAACAUUAUCACCGUUAUCUUUAAUUUUCCAUCAUACUUGUGUCAAAGAGUUGAACUUUCUUUACCAGUAAUUUUAUAUUGACUUCGCAUUGUGUGAUAUAUAAAGUUUUAUGAUUUUAUUUUCUGUCUAAGAUAUUCAAUAUUUAAAGGAAAAAGAUAAUGGUAGGAGAUGGUAGGAUAAAUUCUAAUUAUUCAAAGAAACUUGAUAAAUACUGUGUUUGAGCUUAUAUACUCGAUAACACAAUAGAAGAAUGCAAUUUACUAGUUAAACUUUGAUAGGAUACUAAAUUUAGGAUGAGCCAAUAAGAUUAUGUCUUGUUUUUCAUGUUACAGGAUUGGACAGAAUAUGAACACACACAUCCAAUACUUCAAAGAUAUUAUGUUUGUGGAGGCAGAGAUUUUGAUUGCAUCCACUGUUUAGAAUACAUCCUUAAGGGAAGCAGACUGCCGCCUUUACCCAAUGAUAUAAUGAUUAAUCAUAACUAUAUCUGUUUUGUACCAAAUAGAAAGAGCAUUGAUUCAGGUCAUUUUCAAAUCCACUGGCAUACAUUGUACUAUACAUGCAACCUUUUCAAACUUUACAUUUAAGAUUUUAAAAAGGAAAUAUCUUAAUGUUUCACAUGUUUACCUUUCACUGUGCUAUGUAAUUCAUUAUACCUGCCAUUAUGCCAGUCUUCCUGAACAUAAUUUGUUUUCUGCAAUUUCAUUGG
Long non-coding RNA from Ostrea edulis (European flat oyster), 2666 nucleotides. RefSeq lists it as uncharacterized. The transcript is spliced from 4 exons. NCBI's taxonomy places the organism in Eukaryota, Metazoa, Mollusca, Bivalvia, Ostreida, Ostreidae. The record is from RefSeq and is a predicted model, not a curated record.